This 253-nucleotide ribosomal RNA is filed under the name uncultured bacterium. Its description in RNAcentral is "partial 16S ribosomal RNA". It matches the Rfam family "Bacterial small subunit ribosomal RNA", at positions 524 to 776 of the family's 1533-position model. The record is from RNAcentral.
UACGUAGGUGACCAGCGUUGUCCGGAUUUACUGGGCGUAAAGAGCGCGCAGGCGGUCGUUCAAGUCGAGUGUGAAAGCCCCCGGCUCAACUGGGGAGGGUCACUCGAUACUGAUCGACUUGAAGGCAGGAGAGGGAAGCGGAAUUCCCGGUGUAGUGGUGAAAUGCGUAGAUAUCGGGAAGAACACCUGAGGCGAAGGCGGGUUGCUGGGCUGACACUGACGCUGAGGCGCGAAAGCCAGGGGAGCAAACGGG